RNAcentral lists this ribosomal RNA (480 nucleotides) under uncultured bacterium. RNAcentral's name for it is "partial 16S ribosomal RNA". It matches the Rfam family "Bacterial small subunit ribosomal RNA", at positions 29 to 507 of the family's 1533-position model. The record is from RNAcentral.
AUGAACGCUGGCGGCGUGCCUAACACAUGCAAGUCGAACGGAGAUUACGGACGGAAGUUUUCGGAUGGAAGCCUGUAAUUCUUAGUGGCGGACGGGUGAGUAACGCGUGGGCAACCUGCCCUAUACAGGGGGAUAGCAGCUGGAAACGGCUGGUAAGACCGCAUAAGUCGGUUAAAUCGCAUGAUUUGAUCGGGAAAUGAGCAAUCAGGUAUAGGAUGGGCCCGCGUCCGAUUAGCCAGUUGGCAGGGUAAAAGCCUACCAAAGCGACGAUCGGUAGCCGGACUGAGAGGGCGGACGGCCACAGUGGGACUGAGACACGGCCCAAACUCCUACGGGAGGCAGCAGUGGGGGAUAUUGCACAAUGGAGGAAACUCUGAUGCAGCGACGCCGCGUGAGUGAAGAAGUAUUUCGGGAUGUAAAGCUCUAUCAGCAGGGAAGAUGAUGACGGUACCUGACGAAGAAGCCCCGGCUAACUACGUG